GAUGAACGCUGGCGGCGUGCCUAACACAUGCAAGUUGAGCGAUUCUCUUCGGAGAAGAGCGGCGGACGGGUGAGUAACGCGUGGGUAACCUGCCCUGUACACACGGAUAACAUACCGAAAGGUAUGCUAAUACGAGAUAAUAUGCUUUUAUCGCAUGGUAGAAGUAUCAAAGCUCCGGCGGUACAGGAUGGACCCGCGUCUGAUUAGCUAGUUGGUAAAGUAACGGCUUACCAAGGCGACGAUCAGUAGCCGACCUGAGAGGGUGAUCGGCCACAUUGGAACUGAGACACGGUCCAAACUCCUACGGGAGGCAGCAGUGGGGAAUAUUGCACAAUGGGCGAAAGCCUGAUGCAGCAACGCCGCGUGAGCGAUGAAGGCCUUCGGGUCGUAAAGCUCUGUCCUCAAGGAAGAUAAUGACGGUACUUGAGGAGGAAGCCCCGGCUAACUACGUGCCAGCAGCCGCAGUAA
RNAcentral lists this ribosomal RNA (468 nucleotides) under uncultured bacterium. RNAcentral's name for it is "partial 16S ribosomal RNA". It matches the Rfam family "Bacterial small subunit ribosomal RNA", at positions 28 to 523 of the family's 1533-position model. The record is from RNAcentral.